This 3689-nucleotide long non-coding RNA is filed under the name Daphnia pulicaria. RNAcentral's name for it is "uncharacterized LOC124338396". The record is from RNAcentral. Lineage: Eukaryota; Metazoa; Arthropoda; Branchiopoda; Diplostraca; Daphniidae.
UUAACCAUAGCUGAUUGCCAAAUGGCGUCGUCUGCUCAGUUUUCAAACGUGGCUGGCGAUAGCUGCACGAAAAAUGUGUCUCAUUAUAGAUUCUCUUAAAAUAGUUAUUAUUUGAUACGUGCUCCAUGUUGUUUACAGCAGGCAAAUAAAAUCAAGAAUGCAUAUAGAAUGAUUGUGGAAUCUUUGAAACCCUUUUCUAAAUUCUGAGAAAUCAAAAUGCUAGUUCCCGACUGAAAUAGGCCUAGCAUUAAUCACGCCAGAGCCAGCUAUGACAACAAUGAGAUGCAAGAAUUUGUUGUGCUGGUGUUAACCUGGUGGCAGGAAUCUCAUUGUUCAGGUAAUAAUUUUCAUUACUCUUAUUCCUGGGACCUGGUACAUUUCAGAAUGAUGCAUGACUUGCACCAAUGCAGUGUAUAUAACAUGGAAACCUUCAAGCUUCAAUUCACCUUUUGUUUAUCAGUUACCACUGUACCACUCUCGUUAACAGCAUCCUCUUGUAUUGGAGAAACUACCAAUGUUGCUUGAGUUGCUGAUAUCUUCUCCCAGUUUCAUAAAAUGUUCUCGUGUGCCCCUGUAGUGGGUGUACACAACAUAUGAGGACUCCCUUUUUCCUCUAUCCCGCCUGGUGCCUGGUCAAUUUUUCAGCAGAUGGAUGCCUGGCUGUAUUGUCCCAAGCUUAAAGGUAAGAAACGGUAAAGUUUUGAGCACGCCCUUGUGGAUAUCAACCAGCAAAGGAGAACUCGGGCGACAAGAAAAGUUUGGCCGUGGUGUUAUGGUCUUACUCGUCAAAGACAUUGCCACGCCCAGUACCGUAAAAGGGAAUUUCGAUCCAAUAGUACGACGGUGAGCAAUCCUUGCCUCAACAGCUCAUGCACUCCCUUCUGUGUCCUUAUUCCGGGCGGAUAUCCUUGCUCCUGCCUCGACAGCACGAUCCUGGUUCAAUCUGUCGGAGAAAUUUCGUGGGACGCGACUGAGGAACGAACUCGACCGUCUCCUUUUGCGCUGCCCUUGCCAGAAUCGCGGGGUCUGCACCGGUGACGGCCAAGUCCAAAGUUAGAGUGCCCCAACGAUUAUACGAAGGCGUCCAUUGCGAGACCCACUUGUUGCACCGUCCCACUUCAUCCGAAAGUCUGGCGCCAGCUUAGAUCGUCGUCCCUAUUCUGCUCAUCAUCCUCGCCGGAUCGGCCAGUGCCACCGUUAACGUAUUCUUCUUCCGACGAUCCGGCCGGGGCCAAAGGCUCUGGGCUUUACCGGAUUCAGCUAAAAAGUCCCAGCGUCUCCUUCCGGCUCCAACGACGAACUCCGUAUCAUACAAACAGCUCUAGUGCCUCCAAGCUAUGGAACCGGUGGAUUCUGAAUUCAAUGGUCGUGACGCCUCGAUUGAAUUGCGUGAUUUCUUCAACGUGGAUGGACCUGUGGAUGCUCCCGAGGUUGGCAUCUAACAAGUCCCGACAGAAAUGAUUCGAGGUAAAAUUGUUGACCCAGCAGUUGACCAAUUUCAAAGAAUUUCGAAAUUUGAACUUGAAUUUGCUGAAAUUAAAUUUUCUCAUGUACUUAGAGUUGUCACGUGCAUUUGGGUUCGCUCUGAAUGAACAGUGGUAUAGUCAGUGACAAGAAACCUCGUAUCUCUUUACCCACACCCCCUCACAACCAACCCCCACACCUCAAGAACAAGUGUGAAAACUAUAACAGCCACUGUAGCCUGUUGUUACUUUUGAAACGAUUGAGCGACAUCCUUCUGCAGCAGUCAGUCAGUCAAGUGGGUGUAGUGGUUUCUGUUAUCGUGUGGAUAUUCUACAUCAGAUGAUCUUAAUUCCUGACUGGGCUGUAUCCAAAUUUGAUCACCGGCCCGUAGAUGCAGCGUUGAUCGGAGAGAGUAGAGCCGUCGGUACUUCAUUCAAACUUGAGUCAUGGACAUUUAAGUUUUUUCGCCCAAUUGGUUUGCUGUUCCUCCUUGUCGAAGUGUGGCCCGUUCCUUUUGAUCGAAACAAAAUGCUGGGGUAGCGAAAGAAUCUGGGUUCAAGUUUGGGUUGAACUUUGGCUUAUCCCAUCAGGUUAGAUUAAAAAGCCUUGGUUAAAUGCAUUAUAGGUUUCAUCAGCGAUUUGAUUAUUUCAUUUACCAUUUGUAACACCUGCGGCUUCGUCCGGCAAUUGAUUUAGUCCGGCCAAAGUUUCAUUUCAUUAUUGGCAGGCAUGGCAGCAAUGUCUUUAUUCCGUUGUAACACCUGCGCAAAUGUGAAAAGAAUUUGGUUUUUGAUUGGUUAUUGCUACUCGCCAUUCAAAUUCACCGAUAUCGCCUACUCAAUAUUAAUAUUAUUCGAUAAGUUUUCGAUGAGAGAUAUAACAAAAGAGUAAUGAAAACAAAGCUCACGUCGAAAAAAAUAAAAAGUAGGUUAAUAAAAUAGAGGUUUAGGGCAACUUGUCUCUCAUUGGUUGUCGUUCCGCCGUCUUUUGAUUCUUCACUAGCAUAUGGUAAAACUUUGAAAGGGGAAAAUUUAAUUAAAUGAUUUCUAUUGAUAUGUACGCAAACCCGAAAAGGCGAAAACGCAUCUUGAUAUCCAAAUUUCCCCCAAAGUUUCCCCCUAAACCUUCUCGCUCUACUUCAAGUUUAAACGCGAUCCUGGUUGCUUGUUCUAAGACAAUCGCCGACAAAGUUGCAUCAUAAUCAUUAAAUCAAUUAAAUCAUGGCCAUUUUUUUCACGACGUGUGUUAAAAUUUUACUAGGAUCGAUUUACACCAGAUUCAAUGUCUGGUGAUCAUCCACUGAAAUUAAAACCAUUUUCUUUGUCAAUAACAUCUAGGGGAGAGUGGGUGAAUGGGAUAAGGUGUCGAUUAGGUAGAGGAGAGGUGCACCUUGAGACCAGGGGUUCAAACCCCCUGGAGAGCAUUGUUGGUUGCUCGUACAUCCGCUCUGGCGCCACUGUGGCGUCACAUGCAGGAUUAUCUAACCCCGUGCUGGAGAGGGAACUCUGCGCUUAUGGACGUGCCAUUCUGUCUGAUGGCAAAAUUGUGCGAAUAGGAAGGAUGUUGUUAAAUCUCUUCAUUCGAAACAUGUAAUAAGCAUUGUACAUCAAUCCGACAUCAUUGAAAGGCUGGUCUUUGACGCUGCCAAGACUUGGGAAUUGACGACUCGAUGAGAAUCAAUCAAAGAUAAAACUUAUUGAAAUUUAUUAGCCAACUGAUUUUGGGAAUCGACAACUCGGAACCGAACACAAGGCCAAACUUCCGUCUAGCAAAUUUCGGGGCGACCGACUCGCAUCGCACGUCGAGGAAAAAUUCUCUUCAUUCUGCUGUUCUAGAUGAUUUGGAGUGGUCCUUAAUCAUUCGUACCUUAUUGAUGGCGCCUUUUCACAAAAUCAAUUCAGUCCAAGCAAAGCAUCUGCCGUUUGGAUUAGAAUUUCCUUUCGUUUUUUCUGAAACACGUGGCCUGAAUUAAACAAAACCAGCAGAGCAACAAGAUUCGUCAUCCGUGUCUAACUACAGCUGUGGCUAAUAUCCAUCGAUGAAGAACUCUCCUUUGAAGAAAUAAUGCGGGUAUGUUAGAAUGAUAUGAUAGAUUGACAUCGCUGGGCCCACUGGUGUUUUGGCAACUCCAUCAGAGUCAUUGACGUCAUUACACACUGGUCGUUUCUCAACGGGCCCCUGCAAGAUAACGGUACAAAAACAGUUUACAGCCAUACUACCUGUGC